This 464-nucleotide ribosomal RNA is filed under the name uncultured bacterium. Its description in RNAcentral is "bacterial SSU rRNA". It matches the Rfam family "Bacterial small subunit ribosomal RNA", at positions 58 to 518 of the family's 1533-position model. The record is from RNAcentral.
CAAGGUCGCGGGGCAGCACGGGUAGCAAGUACCGUGGUGGCGACCGGCGCACGGGUGCGUAACGCGUAUGCAACCUGCCCCCAUCAGGGAUAGCCCGCGAAAGGCGGAUUAAUGCCCAUAGACCCAGGGCGCUGCAUGGCGCUAUGGGUAAAACUCCUGCGGAUGGGGAUGGGCAUGCGUGCCAUUAGCUAGUUGGGCGGUAACGGCGCACCAAGGCGACGAUGGCUAGGGGGUCUGAGAGGAUGGUCCCCCACACUGGUACUGAGACACGGACCAGACUCCUACGGGAGGCAGCAGUGAGGAAUAUUGGUCAAUGGGCGGAAGCCUGAACCAGCCAUUGCCGCGUGCAGGAUGACGGCCCUACGGGUUGUAAACUGCUUUUCCCCGGGAAGAAUAAGCCCCUCGUGAGGGGUGAUGCCGGUACCGGGGGAAUAAGGAUCGGCUAACUCCGUGCCAGCAGCGGC